This 492-nucleotide ribosomal RNA is filed under the name uncultured bacterium. RNAcentral describes it as "partial 16S ribosomal RNA". It matches the Rfam family "Bacterial small subunit ribosomal RNA", at positions 29 to 507 of the family's 1533-position model. The record is from RNAcentral.
AGUGAACGCUGGCGGUAGGCCUAACACAUGCAAGUCGAACGGCAGCACAGUAAGAGCUUGCUCUUACGGGUGGCGAGUGGCGGACGGGUGAGGAAUACAUCGGAAUCUACUUUUUCGUGGGGGAUAACGUAGGGAAACUUACGCUAAUACCGCAUACGACCUACGGGUGAAAGCAGGGGAUCUUCGGACCUUGCGCGAUUGAAUGAGCCGAUGUCGGAUUAGCUAGUUGGCGGGGUAAAGGCCCACCAAGGCGACGAUCCGUAGCUGGUCUGAGAGGAUGAACAGCCAAAAUGGAACUUAAAAAACGUGCAGACGACUAAGGGAGGCAACAGUGGGGAAAAUUGGACAAUGGGCGCAAACCUGAUCAAGCCAUACCGCGUGGGUGAAGAAGGCCUUCGGGUUGUAAAGCCCUUUUGUUGGGAAAGAAAAGCAGCAGGUUAAUACCCCGCUGUUCUGACGGUACCCAAAGAAUAAGCACCGGCUAACUUCGUG